Molecule: ribosomal RNA, 406 nt
Filed under: uncultured bacterium
Lineage: Bacteria
Description: partial 16S ribosomal RNA
Rfam family: Bacterial small subunit ribosomal RNA
Source: RNAcentral
AUUGAACGCUGGCGGCAGGCCUAACACAUGCAAGUCGGGCGAGAGGCGGACGGGUGAGUAAUGUAUGGGGAUCUGCCUGAUGGAGGGGGAUAACUUCUGGAAACGGUAGCUAAUACCGCAUACUCUUAGAUGUGCCAAGACGGGAUUAGCUAGUCGGUGGGGUAAUGGCUCACCUAGGCGACGAUCCCUAGCUGGUCUGAGAGGAUGACCAGCCACACUGGAACUGAGACACGGUCCAGACUCCUACGGGAGGCAGCAGUGGGGAAUAUUGCACAAUGGGCGCAAGCCUGAUGCAGCCAUGCCGCGUGUAUGAAGAAGGCCUUCGGGUUGUAAAGUACUUUCAGCGAGGAGGCGUUACUCGCAGAAGAAGCACCGGCUAACUCCGUGCCAGCAGCCGCGGUAAUUC